UACGAGAGGCCCAAACGUUAUUCGGAAUUACUGGGCUUAAAGAGUUCGUAGGCGGCAUUGCAAGUAGGGUGUGAAAGCCCUCGGCUCAACCGAGGAAUUGCGCUCUAAACUGCAGUGCUCGAGGAACCUAGAGGUGAGCAGAACAGAUGGUGGAGCGGUGAAAUGCGUUGAUAUCAUCUGGAAUACCGGAGGCGAAGGCGGCUCACUGGGGGUUUUCUGACGCUAAGGAACGAAAGCCAGGGUAGCGAACGGG
Molecule: ribosomal RNA, 253 nt
Filed under: uncultured bacterium
Lineage: Bacteria
Description: partial 16S ribosomal RNA
Rfam family: Bacterial small subunit ribosomal RNA
Source: RNAcentral